UACAGAGGGCCCAAGCGUUGUUCGGAUUCACUGGGCGUAAAGGGUUCGUAGGCGGUCGGGUAAGUCUGACGUGAAAUCUUCAAGCUUAACUUGGAAACUGCGUCGGAUACUAUUCGGCUAGAGGAAUGGAGGGGAGACUGGAAUACUUGGUGUAGCAGUGAAAUGCGUAGAUAUCGAGAGGAACACCAGUGGCGAAGGCGAGUCUCUGGACAUUUCCUGACGCUGAGGCACGAAAGCCAGGGGAGCAAACGGG
Molecule: ribosomal RNA, 253 nt
Filed under: uncultured bacterium
Lineage: Bacteria
Description: partial 16S ribosomal RNA
Rfam family: Bacterial small subunit ribosomal RNA
Source: RNAcentral